Molecule: ribosomal RNA, 203 nt
Filed under: uncultured bacterium
Lineage: Bacteria
Description: partial 16S ribosomal RNA
Rfam family: Bacterial small subunit ribosomal RNA
Source: RNAcentral
CGUCGAGGCGGUCAUGUUAGUCGUUUGUAAAAUCCGGGAGCUCAACUUCCGGCCCGCAAGCGAAACGGCAUGACUCGAGAGUUGGAGAGGUGCAUGGAACUCACGGUGUAGGGGUGAAAUCCGUUGAUAUCGUGGGAACACCAAAGGCGAAGGCAGUGCACUGGCCAAUUUCUGACGCUCACACACGAAAGCAGGUAGCAACG